CGCGUGCUCGCCGUGCGUGCGCGCCCCCGCUGCCCCAGGUGAGAGAGAGUUGUGUGUGUGUGUGUGAGUGUAUGAGAGUGUGUGUGAGUGUGUAUGUAUGUGUGCGUAUGUGUGCGCGCGCGCGUGCGUGCGUGCGUGUGUGUGUGAUUGAGUGAGUGUGAGUUGUCGCGCGACUGCAGGAUGAUGAAGGUGACGCUCGUGGCUGCUUGUUUGCUGCUGCUGUGGAUCAGCGCGUGCGGAGCUAAACGAGUGUAUUUUGAAUGUGGAGCCAAGGUGGACGUGGUGGAUAUGCAGGGCCUUGUUCUGUCCCCUGGUUUCCCCUAUAACUACUCCUCUAACACCCACUGCGUCUGGCAGUUCUUCGUUCCCGCUGGUCACCAACUUACCAUGGAGAUGUUUGAUUUUGACGUUUUUGAGAGUCAGAACAGUCCUGGAAGAAACCCCACCUCGUCUACAUUACUUCUGGAAGAGGAGGAGGAGGAAGGUGAAGAACAUUUUGGCCCAUCGAUGGGCGAAUUGCUUUCCAAAGCUAGCUUAGCCGCAACUCGCAUUGUGGCAAAGGAACCGCAGCGGUCCGUGCAGAAUCGAGAGGUCAAACAGGUAGUCGUCCAAGAGGAGUCCAAUAAGAUGGAGAUGGCUAAAGUGUCCAACUCGGCCAAACGUUCCUAUGAGUCCCCUUUGCCCAUGCCUCCAGAUCCUCCACCGCCUUCUCAACUGUUGUCUGGACCUCAACCACCUGGAGACAAGGCCCAGAACUCUGUGUCUCCUCAGGCUUCCAGAUCCGCCAUUGAAGCCAAAGGCAGAAUGACCAAUGUUCUUCCUGCUACUCCUACAGCCACCGGCAGUGAAGAAGACACAAGUCCUGAAACCCAACAGCCAGUGAUGGACUCUUGCCCUCACGAUGUCCUCUACAUUUCGGACCUGACCACCUUCUCCUCGCGCUUCUACGGCUCCAACCGUCCGUCCAGCAGUCAGCUGGUUUUUGGUUCGGACUCCGAGAUGGUGGAGGUGAUCAUGGAGCUGAUCACAACCACCCACUGGGGCCGGGGGUUCGUCCUGCUCUUCCGCUACCACAACCCCACCCAGCUGGCUACAACCGGAGGACAGAGGUCACUGGUGUCCUCCAGCGGCACGGUGGACGUGAUGCUGGCUGUCGUUAGUGGAGCUGCUUUCUUCGCCGUGGUCCUCGCCAGCGUUCUCUGCAUGAUUUUGAGACCCAAACUGUGUGCUAAAGGAUCCAACUCCACGCCCUCUAUCAACUCUGAGGUUCCAGAGGGGGCGCCAAACUCGGGAGCUGAUGGCAGUGAACUGCAGCUUGUGACUCCAAACCAUACCGAGCAACAGCUGGUCCCUGAAAACGACCCCAGCGUCACUCUACAUCACACAGGUAUGGUGUUUAUUAGGUGAUUAUAAGGUAUUAGGCCUGUUCAAAAACUUUAAAAGUUUAACAGCA
Molecule: long non-coding RNA, 1453 nt
Filed under: Astyanax mexicanus (Mexican tetra)
Lineage: Eukaryota; Metazoa; Chordata; Actinopteri; Characiformes; Acestrorhamphidae
Description: lncRNA (ENSAMXG00005016344.1)
Source: RNAcentral